This is a long non-coding RNA of Lemur catta (Ring-tailed lemur), 405 nucleotides long. RefSeq lists it as uncharacterized. The record is from RefSeq and is a predicted model, not a curated record. NCBI's taxonomy places the organism in Eukaryota, Metazoa, Chordata, Mammalia, Primates, Lemuridae. The transcript is spliced from 2 exons.
CCGGGCGGGGGCCGCGCUCUGCGUUCCUCGGGCCGGCGGGCGCGGGGCGGGCGCCCCCCGAGCAGGCAAAGGCCCCGGAUUCCCAGACAGUGACGUCGGAACGGCCCCCCUGCGGGGACGUUCGCGGUCGCCGCGGGCCCAGGGCGGCGCGGAGAGAAGAUUCGAGAACCCCGUGGCUGCUAAGCGCGUCACGGCGCGGGGGCUCCGCCGCACAAAGCCGGCCGCCGCCCGCGGUUCGUAAACGAGCGAGCGGCGUCGCGGGGCCUCGUUCAAGUUCACGGAAAACCGGUUCCCGCGUCGCCGCCUCCGGCAACUCCCGCACCUGCCGUGAGCGGGUUUCCUCCUCCCGGCGGACUCGCCCGGAAUUGUUUUGCGGGGAAAUAAGAUAUUCCAAGAAUAUGCCAA